GAAAUGCGAUAAGUAAUGUGAAUUCCAGAAUUCAGUGAAUCAUCGAAUCUUUGAACGCACCUUGCGCUCCUUGGUAUUCCUUGGAGCAUGCCUGUUUGAGUAUCAUGAAAUCUUCAAAGUAAAUCUUUUGUUAACUCAAUUGGUUUCUACUUUGGUAUUGGAGGUCUUUGCAGCUUCACACCUGCUCCUCUUUGUUCAUUAGCUGGAUCUCAGUGUUAUGCUUGGUUCCACUCGGCGUGAUAAGUUAUCUAUCGCUGAGGACACUGUAAAAGGUGGCCAAGGUAAAUGCAGAUGAACCGCUUCUAAUAGUCCAUUGACUUGGACAAUACUUUUAUGAUCUGAUCUCAAGUCAGGUAGGACUACCCGCUGAACUUAAGC
This 378-nucleotide unclassified non-coding RNA is filed under the name plant metagenome. RNAcentral's name for it is "partial contains 5.8S ribosomal RNA, internal transcribed spacer 2, and large subunit ribosomal RNA". The stretch from base 1 to 105 matches the Rfam family "5.8S ribosomal RNA", at positions 50 to 154 of the family's 154-position model. The record is from RNAcentral.